Molecule: ribosomal RNA, 253 nt
Filed under: uncultured bacterium
Lineage: Bacteria
Description: partial 16S ribosomal RNA
Rfam family: Bacterial small subunit ribosomal RNA
Source: RNAcentral
UACGGAGGAGGCAAGCGUUAUCCGGAAUUAUUGGGCGUAAAGCGUCCGCAGGUGGCACUUCAAGUCUGUCGUCAAAGACUGGGGCUUAACCCUGGAAAGGCGGUGGAAACUGAAGCGCUAGAGUGUGGUAGGGGUAGAGGGAAUUCCCGGUGUAGAGGUGAAAUUCGUAGAGAUUGGGUGGAACACCAGUGGCGAAGGCGCCUGCCUGGCUGAUUACUGACGCUGAGACUCGAAAGCAUGGGGAGCAAACAGG